UAAAUGAGAAUAAGCCUUCAAACUUAUUGCCAGAAAGUAACAAGCGCUUAAUGGAUGUCAGUUUAGAAACAACUGAUUGCAUGUUGCCACUGAACUUAUUGGAUGAGAGAUCAAGAUAUCGGAGGUUGCUUAAGUUGCCAAGACAUUGAGGAAGUGGACCAGAGAAGUGAUUGUUACUAAGACCCAACUUAACGAGGCUUUUCAAUCCACAGAAUCCUCCCAUUGAGAUGCUGCCAUUGAAAUCAUUACGACUUAUAUCCAGUGUUUCCAAAAACUUCAUAUUAGCGAAUGCUCCCAUUAAGAUGCUGCCAUUGAAAUCAUUAUAACUUAUAUCCAAUGUUUC
Molecule: unclassified non-coding RNA, 343 nt
Filed under: Hevea brasiliensis (rubber tree)
Lineage: Eukaryota; Viridiplantae; Streptophyta; Magnoliopsida; Malpighiales; Euphorbiaceae
Source: RNAcentral